GAAUCGUGAUCGGACGGAGGGCUCUCCACCUUCUGCUUUCCUUUUUUGGGGAAGAUAGGGUGACUGGCCCAAGUGGCCCACCCGAUCGCUAGAUUCUGGAACUCCGACGAUGCUCUUUCCAGCCGCACAGAUGCCUACGGCUGCUGUGGCUGCUGCUGCAUGGCCUGCACUGCUUCGGUGAGGCCUCUGACCUACUGAACCAGCAAGUUAAACUGCUCCAUGCUGACUGUCGUUGUCA
This 238-nucleotide long non-coding RNA is filed under the name Elaeis guineensis (African oil palm). RNAcentral's name for it is "long non-coding RNA (EGUI_LNC078286)". The record is from RNAcentral. Lineage: Eukaryota; Viridiplantae; Streptophyta; Magnoliopsida; Arecales; Arecaceae.